Molecule: ribosomal RNA, 319 nt
Filed under: uncultured bacterium
Lineage: Bacteria
Description: bacterial SSU rRNA
Rfam family: Bacterial small subunit ribosomal RNA
Source: RNAcentral
AGGGUUUGAUUAUGGCUCAGGACGAACGCUGGCGGCGUGCUUAACACAUGCAAGUCGAACGGGGCAUAGAGAUAUGCCUAGUGGCGGACGGGUGAGUAACACGUGAGCAACCUAUCCUAUACAACGGGAUAACACAGAGAAAUUUGUGCUAAUACGGUAUAAGACCACACUCCGGCAUCGGAGAGGGGUAAAAGCUGAGGCGGUAUAGGAGGGGCUCGCGGCCCAUUAGCUAGUUGGAGAGGUAACGGCUCACCAAGGCGACGAUGGGUAGCCGAUCUGAGAGGAUGAACGGCCACAUUGGAACUGAGAAACGGUCCAA